UACAGCCAUAUCAUGUUGAAACAAUGGUUCUCAUAUGAUCACCAAUGUUAAGCAAUGUCCAGCCUGGUCAGUACCUAGAUUGGUGACUGCUUGGGAAUACCAGGUGCUGUAA
This is a non-coding RNA of Acanthosepion pharaonis, 112 nucleotides long. The record is from the annotation of a GenBank genome assembly. Lineage: Eukaryota; Metazoa; Mollusca; Cephalopoda; Sepiida; Sepiidae.